This is a long non-coding RNA of Ruditapes philippinarum (Manila clam), 2216 nucleotides long. RefSeq lists it as uncharacterized. NCBI's taxonomy places the organism in Eukaryota, Metazoa, Mollusca, Bivalvia, Venerida, Veneridae. The transcript is spliced from 3 exons. The record is from RefSeq and is a predicted model, not a curated record.
GUGUUGAUCUGCUUGCACUUGCAGACAAUAAGCCUACUUCUCGUCCGUUAAAUAUGACUUGGUAAAAAAAACAACACGAAAUAAUGUUGUACUGUCGGAAUAGAUAUUUGUGAUCAAAUGACAAUCUAUGAAUCUGGGUGAAUUAAUUUCAAAAAUACACAGUAGAAUAAUUAUAUAGUUAUAUUCAUCUUCCUCAGAUUAUCCAAAGCCAUCAUGGCGCAGUGGAUGUAUCAAUGAACUAGCAAGUUAGAGGAUCAGAGUUCAAAACCUAGAUGAUGGAGUAUGGCUCCAACUCCAUGUAUUUUGUGUGGGAAAAGACUAAAGAUACAUCAAAGGAGGCCUGUGAAUUCACAUCUUAUUAGAUAUCUCAGAAAAACCUUCAUGCUUGAAACUACAAAAUCUAACUACAUAUGUGGAAAAUGUAGCCGACUGGCAUAUCCAUCUCAGCAUAACCAAAGAUCCAUAAAAUCAGCAUGUCCUGUUCCUGUUGCAGCAGAAAAGAAUGAUAUUCAACACUUGCUAAGUCCACCAUCGGUUUCUUUGAACUUAAAAACAAUUUCAAAAAGUCAUUCAUACUGUGUUAUUUGUAAGAAAGUAGGAUCUUCAUUAAUUGUUGUUCCAUCAAAACUUAGAACAGAAACACUUGUGAAGCAUAAUACCCUAAUAACAGCUGACAGUAGGUGUUGCCCCACUCACUUGAAUAACAGUUGUGAUGGUUUCUAAGCAAAUGCUUUAGAUAACGUAAAAUCAUUAGAGUCUGACUACAAUUGAAAAUGUUAUUAAUAAUGUCAGACAGUGUAUACCCAAUUCAUCGUCUAAAAGAAUGUCAUUUGACAAUAUUGAUACAUUUUCAAAUGAAGAUUUGUACAAUCUAACAGGUUUGAACAAAGAACAGUUCUUAGAUUUAUGCUCUAUUACUGAAGAACAUGUUAGAAAUACGCCAGUUAGAAGCCACAUUACUACACUGGGUAUAUUUCUGUUUAAACUUAAGUCUGGAUUGUCAAACAAAAUUCUUUCAACACUUUUUGAUGUAUCUAAAUCAAGCAUAAGAAGAGCAGUACAUACAAUCAGAAAAGUGCUUGUUUCUGAACUUGUUCCUAAAUAUCUUGGCUUCCAGCACAUAUCAAGAGAAGAAAAUUAUAAAAAGCCAUACUCGUUCCCUAUCACAGUCACUACUUGCUAAAAAUGCCAGCCAAGCUAUAAUUGUAUUAGAUGGAACAUACAUAUAUAUAUUAGAAAAAGUACAAACUUCAAAUUCCAAAGACAUUCUUAUAGUGUACAUAAAGGGCGGCCACUUGUUAAACCUAUGGUAAUAGUCAGCACCACUGGAUACUUUAUUUCUGUAUUAGGACCAUAUCUUGCAAUUUCUAAAAAUAGUGAUUCAGGAAUUUUAAACCAAUUGCAGUAAGGAAAAACAUAGAGAGGAAAUCAAAAAUUGGGCUCAGCUAAAUGAUAUAUUUGUUGUUGACUGUGGAUUUUGUGACUCCCUGCAAGUGCUGGAGGAGAUGGGAAUAAAAGCACAGAUGCCAAAGUUCAUGACGAAGGGUGCCAAACAAUUAUUAACCAUGGACGCUAACCACAGUCGGUUCGUAACAAAGGUCAGAUGGGUAGUUGAAGCAUCAAAUGCUCGAAUAAAGAGAUGGAAGUAUCUUGACCAUGUAUUGCCUACCAAUCAAAUUCCGUACAUUGGUGAUUAUGUCCGCAUUAUUUGUGCCUGUAUGUAACAAAUAUCUUUCACCUCUAAAUGCAACCAAAGAUUUAAUAGAUGACACACUUGUAGCAGAGAGAAUGAGAGAUAAAAUCCUUUUGACUCUUGGUACCUACCAAAUGAAACUUUGCCCAUCAUGUGCACAAGAGUACCUUGAUGGAGAUUGGAAUAUUUUGGUGUUUAAAGAAUCAAAAGACUUGUUGAGAGUAAGGCUUCAAAGUUGUCAUCUAUCAUCCAAGUCUUAUUUUGUUUGGAUUCAAUAUGAUUCAGACCAUGUCAAGGCUUGGUACUGCCAGUGCAGGGCUGGUGCAUGGACAGUUGGAACAUGUUCUCAUGUAGCUGCGGUGAUUUGGUAUCUAGGCACAUCUAGGCAGCACUCUGACAGGGACGGAGUCCAAGACUGGACUCAAUACCUUGAUGAUGCUGCCGAGAUGCCGCAGCCAAUAGAUUCAUCUGACUCGGAAGACAGUAUUGUAGAGGAAUAAUAAGUAAAGGGAAUCAUACCAGU